Molecule: transfer RNA, 73 nt
Filed under: Methanococcus voltae
Lineage: Archaea; Methanobacteriati; Methanobacteriota; Methanococci; Methanococcales; Methanococcaceae
Also listed under: 2 other names
Description: tRNA-Gln
Rfam family: tRNA
About the family: Transfer RNA (tRNA) molecules are approximately 80 nucleotides in length. Their secondary structure includes four short double-helical elements and three loops (D, anti-codon, and T loops).
Source: RNAcentral
AGCCCGGUAGUGUAGAGGCCAAUCAUUCGGGUCUUUGGAACCUGAGACCGCGGUUCGAAUCCGCGCCGGGCUA